AUGGAGCAAAUUUCAAAAGGUUUAGAGGUGGAUGUUUCUGAUCAGAGAAAAGGAAACUCUGGAAUAAAGCCAAAGAACAUCAAUUUAGAUCAACCAUACAUCCCACUAAACAAGAGUUCCACUAUCAGAUCUCUAGCUUGGCAAAUGGGAUGUAGCCCUACCACACUGCAUAGAAAGUUCAAGCUGAAUUUGAUAAAGAGGCACACAAACUGUGUGAAGCCAGCUCAAAAGGAAAAGAAUAAGAAGGCUAGGAUGUAA
RNAcentral lists this ribosomal RNA (258 nucleotides) under Triticum aestivum (bread wheat). RNAcentral's name for it is "partial small subunit ribosomal RNA". Lineage: Eukaryota; Viridiplantae; Streptophyta; Magnoliopsida; Poales; Poaceae. The record is from RNAcentral.